This 370-nucleotide long non-coding RNA is filed under the name Chloebia gouldiae (Gouldian finch). RNAcentral's name for it is "Erythrura gouldiae (Gouldian finch) lncRNA (ENSEGOG00005001028.1)". Lineage: Eukaryota; Metazoa; Chordata; Aves; Passeriformes; Passeridae. The record is from RNAcentral.
GCGGGCGGGAGGACGCGGGGCCGGCGCCGCGGGGCGGGGGAGGCAGCGCGAGGGAGUGCGGAAAGAGUUAAGAGUGGCGGGGCAGGCUGGCUGUCGGGAGCGAGCAUGUGCAGAUUGAAACCGCAUCCAUACUACGGGCGAGUGUCGCUGUCACACUUCACCUCCCGCCGGCCGCGGGGCACCCAUGGACACCGGAAGUCUGUCUGGUUGCUGUAUUAACUGUUGGUCACACACACCUGGGCGGAAAACGACUGGCAUCUGAAACCCCUUGGACUUGCUGGAGGCAGCCUAGUCUACCUGCGGAUGUUGUGAAUUAAGAGCUGGCCAAAGAGUGGGAGAGCUCCAGGAUCCCUCCCUGGAAAAGAGUGCU